This 466-nucleotide ribosomal RNA is filed under the name uncultured bacterium. RNAcentral describes it as "partial 16S ribosomal RNA". It matches the Rfam family "Bacterial small subunit ribosomal RNA", at positions 28 to 507 of the family's 1533-position model. The record is from RNAcentral.
GACGAACGCUGGCGGCGCGCCUAACACAUGCAAGUCGAACGGAGUCAAGAGGAGCUUGCUUUUCUUGACUUAGUGGCGAACGGGUGAGUAACGCGUGAGUAACCUGCCCUGGAGUGGGGGACAACAGUUGGAAACGACUGCUAAUACCGCAUAAGCCCACGGAUCCGCAUGGAUCUGCGGGAAAAGGAUUUAUUCGCUUCAGGAUGGACUCGCGUCCAAUUAGCUAGUUGGUGAGGUAACGGCCCACCAAGGCGACGAUUGGUAGCCGGACUGAGGUUGAACGGCCACAUUGGGACUGAGACACGGCCCAGACUCCUACGGGAGGCAGCAGUGGGGGAUAUUGCACAAUGGGGGAAACCCUGAUGCAGCGACGCCGCGUGGAGGAAGAAGGUUUUCGGAUUGUAAACUCCUGUCGUUAGGGACGAUAAUGACGGUACCUAACAAGAAAGCACCGGCUAACUACGUG